AAGAAGCAAGCACCCCAAAAUCCCAAAUUGUGUUUCUGUCAUCUUCUUCUCUCUCUCUCUAUAUAUAUAUAUAUAUUUGCAUAUGCAAUUCCAAUUCCCCUUCUCAAUUCAGUUCAAUUCAAUUUGUGUGUAGUAAGAAGGUUCCUCUCUCUCUCUUUUCUUUCUGUAUCUGUAAUUCUGCUGUUUGGGUUUUCGUUUUAGUUUUUCUAUCUCUGCCCUAUCAUUUUCUUCAUUAUUACUAUCUUUUCUUUCAAUUCUUCUUCUGUUUGAUCCUUCAUCAUUAAGCUUCUUUUAUCUGAUAUAAAUAAUCUACAUGGUUUUUUAUUUUCAGUUUUACAUUUUACCCCCUUUUGACUUCCUUUCUAAGGGUUUAUUCAUCAACACCAUUGCUUCAUUUUAUUUUCUAUUUCUGUAUUUUUCUAUAAAAUAGUUGAUUUAGUUUAUCUGAUGUCAAUUCCAAUGUUAAUUAUUUGGGUUAAGGGCCGUUUGUUUUGGCUUAAAAGAGUGAUUUUUGGGAAAAUUGAUUUUGGCAAAAGUGAUCUCUUGGAGAAACUGAAAAGUCAACCAACAAAAUGUACAAGCGUUGGAAGUGUUCUAUUUGUACUGAUUCUGUGGAGAGAGAAAGCUUAAAUAAACCAGCAUUCGAUAUUAUUGCUAGUUUUAAUUAUCAUAUUUGUUCAUAUGGAAUUAGAAUUAUAAUUUCAAAUAACAAUUCUAUACCUACUUGCCACUACUAUUAA
RNAcentral lists this long non-coding RNA (740 nucleotides) under Lupinus angustifolius (narrow-leaved blue lupine). Its description in RNAcentral is "long non-coding RNA (LANG_LNC002512)". Lineage: Eukaryota; Viridiplantae; Streptophyta; Magnoliopsida; Fabales; Fabaceae. The record is from RNAcentral.